This 1119-nucleotide long non-coding RNA is filed under the name Homo sapiens (human). RNAcentral describes it as "long intergenic non-protein coding RNA 710". Lineage: Eukaryota; Metazoa; Chordata; Mammalia; Primates; Hominidae. The record is from RNAcentral.
AGAGAAGCUCUGGGGCUUCAGUCAAUGACUCAGGGUAGCCACCGAACAUGAUGCUCGGGCAGUGGGUGCCACCUGGACUCCACUCUCCCCUCUCUCUGGGAUCAUAGAGUCCAAGGUGUUCUGUGGCCUCUCGGCCAAUCCCAGCAGCUCAGCGUGCAGAAGACCGAGGAGCCAUUGGUCAGUGUAGGAGGUGCCUGGAGUUUUGGAGAUGGGAUCCACAGGAAUUCAACACAACACGAAAUAAUCAACAAAUUCGGGGAAUGUUAAUCUGACCAUCACCAGUUACAAAUGAUGUUUCAUGCUACCUUCUAUUCCUGCCUUCAUAAAUCAAGGAAAAGAAAAAGAGAACAUAUAUCCCCCUACCUUUUGAUUUCCAACAGUCUACUGAGAGGCCAAGAUUAUUUGCAGGGAAAGAAAAGGGGUCAAAAUGUUUUGCCAGUAACUCCCAAAUCAUCUACAGCCAAGGAGAAAAGUGUUUCAAGACAGAGGUGCUCAAUGGUAUCAAAUACUGCCAACAGACCAAGUAAUACAUGCAUUGAAGUGUCUACUGGAUCUAGCUAUAUCACCAGAACAAGGUUAUGGUGGAAAACGCUAGAAAUGAAGAUUUUGUCCCCAGGGAUGGGGGAUACAAGUUACCAAAGUAGUGGCGAGAAAAGGAAUUUUUAAUUUAGGACACUUAGGCCAUACUGAAGCAAGGUGACAAAAUGAAUAGCUACAAUGUCUCGUGAAUCUUGGGUUUCCAUUCACCCUGGUAUUCAAGAGAAAUUCUUGCAUCAUGGAAGUUGCAGUUGGAUAGGACUUUCUCAGCUGAACACUGUCAUCUGCCAGAGCUUCAGGCAAGAACCCAGAACAGAUGAAACCCCAGACAUGACAAAAUAAGCCAAAGAAUACCAGGCCAAGGUGUGAAAGGCCAGAUGAGAACAAGCAGCGUACACGAUUCUGUUGCCAACAGAUCUCCCCUAACAGUGUCGUGCACCAAAUUUCCACAGUGAAUGUCAGGAAAAAAUGGCAAUUGAGGUGGGUGGUCAAAAGAGAAGCACAGUCUAUGAUGAAGUCACCCCAGAGAAGUCCUUUUUCCGUUUUCUCCUGAGAAAUUACCAGAAGAAAUUAAAAUCCUUU